RNAcentral lists this ribosomal RNA (446 nucleotides) under uncultured bacterium. RNAcentral's name for it is "partial 16S ribosomal RNA". It matches the Rfam family "Bacterial small subunit ribosomal RNA", at positions 338 to 795 of the family's 1533-position model. The record is from RNAcentral.
CCUACGGGUGGCAGCAGUCGAGAAUCAUUCACAAUGGGGGCAACCCUGAUGGUGCGACGCCGCGUGGGGGAAUGAAGGUCUUCGGAUUGUAAACCCCUGUCAUGUGGGAGCAAAUUAAAAAGAUAGUACCACAAGAGGAAGAGACGGCUAACUCUGUGCCAGCAGCAGCGGUAAUACAGAGGUCUCAAGCGUUGUUCGGAAUCACUGGGCGUAAAGGGUGCGUAGGCGGUUUCGUAAGUCGUGUGUGAAAGGCGCGGGCUCAACCCGCGGACGGCACAUGAUACUGCGAGACUAGAGUAAUGGAGGGGGAACCGGAAUGCUCGGUGUAGCAGUGAAAUGCGUAGAUAUCGAGAGGAACACUCGUGGCGAAGGCGGGUUCCUGGACAUUAACUGACGCUGAGGCACGAAGGCCAGGGGAGCGAAAGGGAUUAGAUACCCGAGUAGUC